AGUGAACGCUGGCGGUAGGCCUAACACAUGCAAGUCGAACGGCAGCACCGUAAGGGCUUGCUCUUCCGGGUGGCGGAUGGCGGAAGGGAGAGGAAUACAUCGGAAUCUACUUUUUCGGGUGGGAUAACGUAGGUGGACUUACUCUAAUAUCGCAUACGCCCUUCGGGGGAAAGCAGGGGAUCUUCUGGCCUUGCGCGAUUGAAUGAGCCGCUGUCGGGUUAGCUAGUUGGCGGGGUAAAGGCCCAGCUAGGCGACGAUCCGCAGCUGGUGUGAGAGGAUGAUCGGCGACCUUGGAAGUGAGACACCGUCCAGGGGCCUACGGGAGGCAGCAGUGGGGAACAUUGGACAAUGGGCGCAAGCAUGGUCCAGCGAGACCGCGUGUGAGAAGAAGGCCUUCGGGUUGUAAAGCCCGUUUGUUGGGAAAGAAACGCAGCAGGUUGAUACGCAGCUGGACUGACGGUACCGAAAGAAUAAGCACCGGCUAACUUCGUG
This 492-nucleotide ribosomal RNA is filed under the name uncultured bacterium. Its description in RNAcentral is "partial 16S ribosomal RNA". It matches the Rfam family "Bacterial small subunit ribosomal RNA", at positions 30 to 507 of the family's 1533-position model. The record is from RNAcentral.